AUGGGUGUAGGCGGGCAAGGGGCUGCCUCCGCCCUCUGAUUCCAUCUCUCCCAGCACUGACGUCAUCGCUGGCCCCACCAGAGCAUUGUGGGUCCCAGGCAGAGAGACAGCCGAGGAGAGGGGAGUCCAGGAAGCUGCUGGGGGUGUCCUCACCAAUGGCCCCAGGGCUCUGGCCCCAACCCAGCUGGCACAGGUGUGAAGAUGUCCAGGCCCCACCCGUGCAGCCCAGCCAUCCACUGCCUGGCUUGGCUACCGCCAAGAGGUGGGGCAGGAGAAACAGGAGAUUUGAAUAAUGGGAGAAAAUUAUUAUGUCUUCAUGUGAGCUGGAGCCCAGCCCCGCUCCCCCCGGGGGUGAUAACUAGGGAGGCUUACAUUUCCCCUCUGAGCCAGGGCUGGCUGUGACAAUACGCACAUUGUUCCUGGACCAGGCAUUGUCAUCUGAUGACAGCAUCCAGGCCUGGCUGCAAAACCCCAGGCACAGACAUGGACCCUGAGAGGAAAGAGAAAGCGGUGGCAGGCUGAGAAAGCAAAACGUCAGUGCAGGAGGGAAAUCGCCACUUGCUGCUGAUGGUUUUGUACAACCGGCCUGGUGACAGCUUCGCCCACAGCUGGUCCAAGGCCAGGCAGGGGAGCGGUGGGUAUCAUGGCAGGUGUGGCAUGGAGUGCAGAGGACCCGUUCUAGCCAAACUGAGAAGGUCCUGGUGUCCCUGUCUCAGCCGGAGCAACAACCCCACCUGCCUUCCACCACUCAAGGAAGCCAGAAUCAGAAGCCAGAUUGGUUUGCUGUGGACUCUAGCAGAUGUUCCUGCUAUGGAGUCUAGGAGGCACUUGGAGGCCUCCUUUCCUGUGGAGAACACAGUGCUGAAGAAGAUUUUGAGGUCAGAAAACCACCACCAUAACCAUCAUCACCACUACCACCAUCAUCAUCACCAUCACCAUCACCAUCACCACCACCAUCAUCGUCAUUGUCACAAUCACCAAUGAUUCCUAUCUCCACCACCACUAUAGCAAUAGCCACCAUAGGAGAGAAAGCAGUUUUGUGGAAUAAAAAGUGAUCUGUGUCUUACUUACCAUCUGCAUGCAGGGUAGUUGAGCUGCGGGGCCAGCCUGGUAGAGACAGGUGUGGAAGGGGUGUACAGGGAAAGAGCCCUGGCCUGGGGCUCUGCACUGAGCUCUGCUCACCACUCUUUGUGUGGCCUUGGAAAGCCCCAACCUCUGUAAAAGCAAGGGCUCUGAGGAGGAGGCUUUGAUGGGGGCCCAGGAGUCUGCUAAGUUCUCUUGUAACCUUCAGGCACUGUGGCGAUAAACACAAGGAUUUCUCAAGAUCCCCACCCCCAGGUCCUCCUCUGACCCCCAGAUGCCCAACGCAGCACAGCAGACCAACAAAAGAGCAAAGGUACAAAGGAGGAGGCAGCUGCCCUGGGACUGGGAGCCAGGGAGGCUCUGGCUUCCCUUGUUAUUUCCUAUAUGUGUCUAACAAGCUACUCAGAGCCCCUACCCCAAAAUUUCCCCCAAAGAUGGGCCAGAAAUCCCCAAG
This 1537-nucleotide long non-coding RNA is filed under the name Fukomys damarensis (Damara mole-rat). RNAcentral's name for it is "lncRNA (ENSFDAG00000031398.1)". The record is from RNAcentral. Lineage: Eukaryota; Metazoa; Chordata; Mammalia; Rodentia; Bathyergidae.